GAUGAACGCUGGCGGCGUGCCUAAUACAUGCAAGUCGAGCGAACGGACGAGAAGCUUGCUUCUCUGAUGUUAGCGGCGGACGGGUGAGUAACACGUGGAUAACCUACCUAUAAGACUGGGAUAACUUCGGGAAACCGGAGCUAAUACCGGAUAAUAUUUUGAACCGCAUGGUUCAAAAGUGAAAGACGGUCUUGCUGUCACUUAUAGAUGGAUCCGCGCUGCAUUAGCUAGUUGGUAAGGUAACGGCUUACCAAGGCAACGAUGCAUAGCCGACCUGAGAGGGUGGUCGGCCACCCUGGAACUGAGGCACGGUCCAGACUCCUGCGGGAGGCAGCAGUAGGGAAUCUUCCGCAAUGGGCGAAAGCCUGACGGAGCAACGCCGCGUGAGUGAUGAAGGUCUUCGGAUCGUAGAACUCUGUUAUUAGGGAAGAACAUAUGUGUAAGUAACUGUGCACAUCUUGACGGUACCUAAUCAGAAAGCCACGGCUAACUACGUG
RNAcentral lists this ribosomal RNA (497 nucleotides) under uncultured bacterium. RNAcentral's name for it is "partial 16S ribosomal RNA". It matches the Rfam family "Bacterial small subunit ribosomal RNA", at positions 28 to 507 of the family's 1533-position model. The record is from RNAcentral.